This 30-nucleotide small RNA is filed under the name Bombyx mori (domestic silkworm). Its description in RNAcentral is "piRNA piR-bmo-2157434". The record is from RNAcentral. Lineage: Eukaryota; Metazoa; Arthropoda; Insecta; Lepidoptera; Bombycidae.
UAAUGCAAGGUCUUCCAUCGCUGCGGUGCG